CUACGUGCCAGCAGCCGCGGUAAUACGUAGGUGGCGAGCGUUGUCCGGAAUCAUUGGGCGUAAAGGGAGCGCAGGCGGGCCGGUAAGUCUUACUUAAAAGUGCGGGGCUCAACCCCGUGAUGGGAGAGAAACUAUCGGUCUUGAGUACAGGAGAGGAAAGCGGAAUUCCCAGUGUAGCGGUGAAAUGCGUAGAUAUUGGGAAGAACACCAGUGGCGAAGGCGGCUUUCUGGACUGCAACUGACGCUGAGGCUCGAAAGCCAGGGGAGCGAACGGGAUUAGAUACCCCGGUAGUCCUGGCCGUAAACGAUGGGUACUAGGUGUAGGAGGUAUCGACCCCUUCUGUGCCGGAGUUAACGCAAUAAGUACCCCGCCUGGGGAGUACGACCGCAAGGUUGAAACUCAAAGGAAUUGACGGGGGCCCGCACAAGCGGAGGAACAUGUGGUUUAAUUCGAUGAUACGCGAGGAACCUUACCCGGGAU
This 481-nucleotide ribosomal RNA is filed under the name uncultured bacterium. Its description in RNAcentral is "bacterial SSU rRNA". It matches the Rfam family "Bacterial small subunit ribosomal RNA", at positions 501 to 981 of the family's 1533-position model. The record is from RNAcentral.